RNAcentral lists this ribosomal RNA (494 nucleotides) under uncultured bacterium. RNAcentral describes it as "bacterial SSU rRNA". It matches the Rfam family "Bacterial small subunit ribosomal RNA", at positions 30 to 517 of the family's 1533-position model. The record is from RNAcentral.
AUUGAACGCUGGCGGCAGGCCUAACACAUGCAAGUCGAGCGGUAGAGAGAAGCUUGCUUCUCUUGAGAGCGGCGGACGGGUGAGUAAUACCUAGGAAUCUGCCUGAUAGUGGGGGAUAACGUUCGGAAACGGACGCUAAUACCGCAUACGUCCUACGGGAGAAAGCAGGGGACCUUCGGGCCUUGCGCUAUCAGAUGAGCCUAGGUCGGAUUAGCUAGUUGGUGAGGUAAUGGCUCACCAAGGCUACGAUCCGUAACUGGUCUGAGAGGAUGAUCAGUCACACUGGAACUGAGACACGGUCCAGACUCCUACGGGAGGCAGCAGUGGGGAAUAUUGGACGAUGGGCGAAAGCCUGAUCCAGCCAUGCCGCGUGUGAGAAGAAGGUCUUCGGAUUGUAAAGCACUUAAGUUGGGAGGAAGGGCAUUAACCUAAUACGUUGGUGUCUUGACGUUACCGACAGAAUAAGCAACCGGCUAACUCUGUGCCAGCAGCCG